Molecule: non-coding RNA, 45 nt
Filed under: Schistosoma mansoni
Lineage: Eukaryota; Metazoa; Platyhelminthes; Trematoda; Strigeidida; Schistosomatidae
Source: RNAcentral
AUACAGCUGACGAGUCCCAAAUGGGACGAACCGUGCGUCCUAGAU